Molecule: ribosomal RNA, 253 nt
Filed under: uncultured bacterium
Lineage: Bacteria
Description: partial 16S ribosomal RNA
Rfam family: Bacterial small subunit ribosomal RNA
Source: RNAcentral
GACGUAGGGGGCAAGCGUUGUUCGGAUUUAUUGGGCGUAAAGAGCUCGUAGGUGGUUUGUCGCGUUGUUCGUGAAAUCUCACGGCUUAACUGUGAGCGUGCGGGCGAUACGGGCAGACUAGAGUACUGCAGGGGAGACUGGAAUUCCUGGUGUAGCGGUGGAAUGCGCAGAUAUCAGGAGGAACACCGGUGGCGAAGGCGGGUCUCUGGGCAGUAACUGACGCUGAGGAGCGAAAGCGUGGGGAGCGAACAGG